This 64-nucleotide transfer RNA is filed under the name Gyrohypnus fracticornis. RNAcentral describes it as "tRNA-Thr". The record is from RNAcentral. Lineage: Eukaryota; Metazoa; Arthropoda; Insecta; Coleoptera; Staphylinidae.
GUUUUAAUAAUUUAAAAAAAAAUAUUGGUUUUGUAAACCAAAAAUAAGUUAUCCUUUUAAAACU